This 155-nucleotide unclassified non-coding RNA is filed under the name uncultured Glomerella. Its description in RNAcentral is "sequence contains ITS2". The record is from RNAcentral. Lineage: Eukaryota; Fungi; Ascomycota; Sordariomycetes; Glomerellales; Glomerellaceae.
CAACCCUCAAGCACCGCUUGGUUUUGGGGCCCCACGGCACACGUGGGCCCUUAAAGGUAGUGGCGGACCCUCCCGGAGCCUCCUUUGCGUAGUAACUAACGUCUCGCACUGGGAUCCGGAGGGACUCUUGCCGUAAAACCCCCCAAUUUUUUACA